CUGGGAAGGCUGCAGGAUCUGUGUGUGAGAGACACGCUUUCUGAUGCAAUACGCCAGAGAAGCAGCACAGCCAGGCCACAUCCAACAUUGCCUAGAGAUGCAGAUGGUGGCAAUGCAGGUUCUUCGGCUAAUCCACCUCCACUAAGGCGCCCAUCACAGGGCUCGUUUACUGUGGCUACGGGGCCACCCAAGAGGCCCCAUCUUGAGGUCCAGCACCAGCAUCACCACCCCAACGGCGCAUCUCCGCAGUGUCGGCCGUGCCACCACUUGCUCUUUUUGCCAGCCCCCAAAGUGAGGAUCCACAAUCCCCUCAGUUGUCUGACCCAGGCAUCAUGACCGAGGAUGUGCAGCAGGACCGUUACCAGGAGACCUUCACACUCAACCUGCAGCCCAUCGAUCCGACACUGUAUUACAUUACAGAACCAACACUUAGACGUAGACGUGUAUGUAUGUGUUAACUCAC
Pseudophryne corroboree (corroboree frog) is the source of this 463-nucleotide long non-coding RNA. RefSeq lists it as uncharacterized. The record is from RefSeq and is a predicted model, not a curated record. The transcript is spliced from 4 exons. NCBI's taxonomy places the organism in Eukaryota, Metazoa, Chordata, Amphibia, Anura, Myobatrachidae.